RNAcentral lists this ribosomal RNA (774 nucleotides) under uncultured Neocallimastigales. RNAcentral describes it as "partial large subunit ribosomal RNA". It matches the Rfam family "Eukaryotic large subunit ribosomal RNA", at positions 23 to 649 of the family's 3401-position model. Lineage: Eukaryota; Fungi; Neocallimastigomycota; Neocallimastigomycetes; Neocallimastigales. The record is from RNAcentral.
AGAGAUGUGUGAUGACGCAUAUCAAUAAGCGGAGGAAAAGAAACUAACAAGGAUUCCCUUAGUAACGGCGAGUGAAGCGGGAAGAGCUCAAAUUUGAAAUCUUCAAGGUUCUACCUUGACGAAUUGUAGUUUAUAGAAGUGUUUUCUGUUAGUAGAGUGGCAAAAGUUCUUUGGAAUAGGACAUCAUAGAGGGUGAGAAUCCCGUAUUUGGUCAUUCUUUCUAGCUUUGUGAUACACUUUCAACGAGUCGGAUUGUUUGGGAAUGCAGUCCAAAAUGGGUGGUAAAUUUCAUCUAAAGCUAAAUAUUGGCGAGAGACCGAUAGCGAACAAGUACCGUGAGGGAAAGAUGAAAAGAACUUUGAAAAGAGAGUUAAACAGUACGUGAAAUUGUCAAAAGGGAAGCGUUUGACACCAGUGUCGUUUUUCCGAAAAUCAAUUACGAAUGUUUUAUUUUUGAGAAGUUAUGACUUCAUCGGCUUGCUUCUCUCUUUAUGAAACUUUCUUAAUGCACUUUUCGGUUAACAAGUCAACAUCAAUUUCUUUUGUUGUAAAAGGGUAUGAGGAAGGUGGCUUUCUUUUCGGAGAAAGUGUUUAUAGCCUUGUACCUCUGCAAUCGGAGAGAUUGAGGUCUGCAGCGUAGAUCCUUCGGGGUUAGAUACAUUUGUGCUAAGUUAUAGCUUUUCAUAGACAACUUGUUGACUAUGUUUAGUCUUGUAGCUUACUCGCUUAUGCUAUUUUACCUACGCUUAGGAUGUUGAGUAGCGACAUACGCAC